AGUAACGCGUAAACAACCUGCCUUCGGGAUGGGGACAACAGACGGAAACGACUGCUAAUACCCAAUGAACUAACCGAGCGAGUGCAAGGAAGAGGAAAGGUGGCCUCUCGAAGAAGCUACCGCCGGAAGAGGGGUUUGCGUCUGAUUAGUUAGUUGGUGGGGUAACGGCCUACCAAGACGAUGAUCAGUAGCCGGUCUGAGAGGAUGAACGGCCACACUGGAACUGAGACACGGUCCAGACUCC
Molecule: ribosomal RNA, 244 nt
Filed under: uncultured Veillonellaceae bacterium
Lineage: Bacteria; Bacillati; Bacillota; Negativicutes; Veillonellales; Veillonellaceae
Description: partial 16S ribosomal RNA
Rfam family: Bacterial small subunit ribosomal RNA
Source: RNAcentral